RNAcentral lists this transfer RNA (71 nucleotides) under Synodus variegatus (variegated lizardfish). RNAcentral's name for it is "tRNA-Thr". It matches the Rfam family "tRNA". Rfam says of the family: Transfer RNA (tRNA) molecules are approximately 80 nucleotides in length. Their secondary structure includes four short double-helical elements and three loops (D, anti-codon, and T loops). Lineage: Eukaryota; Metazoa; Chordata; Actinopteri; Aulopiformes; Synodontidae. The record is from RNAcentral. RNAcentral also lists the same sequence under 1 other name.
GUAAUUGUAGCUCAGUGUAGAGCGCCGGUCUUGUAAUCCGGAUGCCGAAGGUUCGAUUCCUCCCUGUUACU